This 139-nucleotide ribosomal RNA is filed under the name uncultured eukaryote. Its description in RNAcentral is "partial 18S ribosomal RNA". It matches the Rfam family "Eukaryotic small subunit ribosomal RNA", at positions 1299 to 1458 of the family's 1831-position model. The record is from RNAcentral.
UGGUGGGUUGCCUUGUCAGGUUGAUUCCGGUAACGAACGAGACCUCAGCCUGCUAAAUAGUUACGUGUCCUUCCUGGACGCGCUUAACUUCUUAGAGGGACUAUUGUCGUUUAGGCAAUGGAAGUGUGAGGCAAUAACA